UAGCCGUAAACGAUACUCGCUAGGUGUCGGCCACGGUGCGACCGUUGUCGGUGCCGUAGGGAAGCCGUGAAGCGAGCCACCUGGGAAGUACGGCCGCAAGGCUGAAACUUAAAGGAAUUGGCGGGGGAGCACAACAACGGGUGGAGCUUGCGGUUUAAUUGGACUCAACGCCGGGAAGCUCACCGGAUAAGACAGCGGAAUGAUUGCCGGGCUGAAGACCCUGCAUGACCAGCUGAGAGGAGGUGCAUGGCGUCAGUGACU
This 261-nucleotide ribosomal RNA is filed under the name uncultured archaeon. RNAcentral describes it as "partial 16S ribosomal RNA". It matches the Rfam family "Archaeal small subunit ribosomal RNA", at positions 748 to 1008 of the family's 1478-position model. The record is from RNAcentral.